RNAcentral lists this non-coding RNA (62 nucleotides) under Lotharella globosa. Lineage: Eukaryota; Cercozoa; Chlorarachniophyceae. The record is from RNAcentral.
UCCCACUGCUGGUUCACCUUCCCCGACCAACGUAACAUCCCGAAUGUCGAUGCCAACGAGGA